This 465-nucleotide ribosomal RNA is filed under the name uncultured bacterium. RNAcentral's name for it is "partial 16S ribosomal RNA". It matches the Rfam family "Bacterial small subunit ribosomal RNA", at positions 28 to 507 of the family's 1533-position model. The record is from RNAcentral.
GACGAACGCUGGCGGCGUGCUUAACACAUGCAAGUCGAACGGAAAGGCCCCUUCGGGGGUACUCGAGUGGCGAACGGGUGAGUAACACGUGAGUAACCUGCCCUUGACUCCGGGAUAACUUCAGGAAACUGGGGCUAAUACCGGAUAGGAAUCCUUGCUGCAUGGUGGGGGUUGGAAAGCUUCGGCGGUUUUGGAUGGACUCGCGGCUUAUCAGCUUGUUGGUGGGGUAGUGGCUUACCAAGGCUUUGACGGGUAGCCGGCCUGAGAGGGCGACCGGCCACAUUGGGACUGAGAUACGGCCCAGACUCCUACGGGAGGCAGCAGUGGGGAAUAUUGCACAAUGGGCGGAAGCCUGAUGCAGCAACGCCGCGUGCGGGAUGACGGCCUUCGGGUUGUAAACCGCUUUCAGCAGGGGCGAAGCUUGUGGUGACGGUACCUGCAGAAGAAGCACCGGCUAACUACGUG